UACGGGGGGGGCAAGCGUUGUUCGGAAUUACUGGGCGUAAAGGGCCAGUAGGCGGCCAACUAAGUCCGACGUGAAAUCCCCAGGCUUAACCUGGGAACUGCGUCGGAUACUGGAUGGCUUGAAUUCGGGAGAGGGAUGCAGAAUUCCAGGUGUAGCGGUGAAAUGCGCAGAUAUCAGGAGGCACACCGGUGGCGAAGGCGGGUCUCUGGGCCGAUACUGACGCUGAGGAGCGAAAGCGUGGGGAGCGAACAGG
RNAcentral lists this ribosomal RNA (253 nucleotides) under uncultured bacterium. RNAcentral describes it as "partial 16S ribosomal RNA". It matches the Rfam family "Bacterial small subunit ribosomal RNA", at positions 524 to 776 of the family's 1533-position model. The record is from RNAcentral.